Molecule: long non-coding RNA, 1994 nt
Organism: Macaca fascicularis (crab-eating macaque)
Lineage: Eukaryota; Metazoa; Chordata; Mammalia; Primates; Cercopithecidae
Source: Ensembl
GGCCCACAGCGGGCGACCUUGGGAGGGGCUGGGGGCUGUGUGCCUGCAGCCUGCUGCUUCACCUUUCUGUCUCCGAGGGCCUUACUUUGUCUGCCCUCUCCUGUCUGCCUCCUUGUCUCUGUCUCCUUUUCUUCAUCUUACUCCACCUCCCCGACUACCUUCAAUCCUGUGUUUCUCUCUUAUCAGAUUGCCGCAGUCUAUGUUGUUAGCUACGGAAGGUCUGAGUUAGAAGGAAUUGUGGGGGCCACCUGUAAAAACUCUCCACCAUCUGUCCUUUCUGCCACCCUGUCAAUACCUGGGCAGGGACCUAAUCUACACCCGCUCCCCCAGAAUAGUCCUUGGAACAAGGAUGACCCCCACCCUGCCCACCGCUGUGGCGGUCCAUCCUCCCUGGGGCAGUUUUUGCUAGCAGAAUGUUCUCUCCUUCCUGGGGCUGGGAAUGCUCUUUCUGUUAUGUCUGCUUCUCGGUCUUAUCCCUACCUGCUGGAGGCUGAAAACAAGCUGCGCUCUCCUCCCCAAGCUCCAGGUACUUGAAGGCCAUUCUUGCCUUCUCUUCUCCAGCUAAAUGUGCUGAGCUGCACUUGACAACUUGAGGUUUCCAGCUGGGUCUCCUCCACUCAGGGACUUCUCUGUAACACCCGUGGUAGUUUGACCCCACGGUAACUUCUGUUGUUUUAAUCUGUUAGUUUUCCCCCUGUUUUUCUUACAGCACCCCUACCUCUUCAGGAGGCUUCCCUUCCUUGAUUCUAUCAGGGUCUGGAGGGGUGGCCAAGUAGCCCACUUGCCCAGGCCACAGAGGCAGCACACAAUGAGGCCUGGCCAGCUGCAGCCCUCCAUCCCCUGGCACCGUGAUUGGCUCAGGGAUGAGCCUGUUGCAUGUGCGGGGCCAAUCAGAGUGCCUCCCUGGCCUUUGCCUUGUGGCCCCAAGGUGGUAGAACUGAGACGGUGCCAGGUGGACAGUGUGUCUACCCCUUCGCACUCCACUGUAUCUGUCUGCAGUAGGAGGAAAUGUGCCCCACCCCCAGAAAGAAGCAGACCCAGAUAUGGCAGGGAUUGUGAAUGGGAAGGUGGCUACAGCCGGGGAAAAGCGGUGAAACCAGGUGAGAGGCAAGGAAGGGCUGGGAGAUGGCUUUUCUCCAGAGGAGGUGAAAGACGAGGGGCCAGCUUGGGUGAUAAGAGGGCUGUGACUGCGAGUGCCAUCCCAUACCGCGUGUCCUCACCAGCCUACGAAAGUCAGAGUGCAGAGGAGCACCUGCACAGAGAUGACAAGGGACCAGGUCUGUGAGCUCUGUCUCCACGACCUGCUACUCCCCCACUGUGGCCUGAGCCUCCUGUCCCUGCUUCUCCCUCACCUCUCUUUGCCCAGGGUCAGCCCCAAGGACAGCUAAGCUGUUUUCCCUGCUUGGUCAACAAGUGGAGUCUUGCUGCGCCCUGCUCAGCCCCAGAAGUGUCAGUCAGCCUGAAAACCCCAGGGACCAGCCCCAGCCCCCACAACUGGACCAUCACCCUGGGGAGCAGGUGAAGCCGUUAAGGGUGAUGGCAUGGGGCAGCGGUGGACCUGCUCAGCCCAGUGUCAGAGCUGCUUAGCGGUGUUCUGUCCUGGCAGCUCUGGAGCCAUGGAGGCCACGGGGCCUGAAGUUCAGUUUGCCCCGCUCUGAGUAUGAGAACAGGCCAUGCCAGUUAAAGUUCCAAAUACAGGCUGGGCACGGUGGCUCAUGCCUGUAAUCCCAACACUUUGGGAAGCCGAGACGGGCGGAUCACGAGGUCAGGAGAUCGAGACCAUCCUGGCUAACACGGUGAAACCCUGUCUCUACUAAAAAUACAAGUUAGCCGGGCGUGGUGGCGGGCACCUGUAGUCCCAGCUACACGGGAGGCUGAGGCAGGAGAAUGGUAUGAACCCGGGAGGCGGAGCUUGCAGUGAGUGGAGAUUGCAUCACUGCACUCCAGCCUGGGCGACAGAGCGAGACUCCGUCUCAAAAAAAAAAAAAAAAAAA